This 400-nucleotide ribosomal RNA is filed under the name uncultured bacterium. RNAcentral describes it as "bacterial SSU rRNA". It matches the Rfam family "Bacterial small subunit ribosomal RNA", at positions 358 to 774 of the family's 1533-position model. The record is from RNAcentral.
GGAAUAUUGCGCAAUGGAGGAAACUCUGACGCAGUGACGCCGCGUAUAGGAAGAAGGUUUUAGGAUUGUAAACUAUUUUAGACAGGGAAGAGAAAGGACUGUACCUGUAGAAUAAGCUCCGGCUAACUACGUGCCAGCAGCCGCGGUAAUACGUAGGGAGCAAGCGUUAUCCGGAAUUAUUGGGUGUAAAGGGUGCGUAGACGGGAACUUAAGUUGGUUGUGAAAUCCCUUGGCUUAACUGAGGAACUGCAACCAAAACUGAGUUUCUUGAGUGCUGGAGAGGGAAGCGGAAUUCCUAGUGUAGCGGUGAAAUGCGUAGAUAUUAGGAGGAACACCAGUGGCGAAGGCGGCUUUCUGGACAGUAACUGACGUUGAGGCACGAAAGUGUGGGGAGCAAACA